This 253-nucleotide ribosomal RNA is filed under the name uncultured bacterium. RNAcentral describes it as "partial 16S ribosomal RNA". It matches the Rfam family "Bacterial small subunit ribosomal RNA", at positions 524 to 776 of the family's 1533-position model. The record is from RNAcentral.
UACAGAGGAGCCAAGCGUUGUCCGGAUUGACUGGGCGUAAAGCGCACGCAGGCGGUCGGGCGCGUGGGGUGUGAAAUCUGGCCGCUUAACGGCCAGGCGCCAUCCCAUACGGCCGGACUGGAGCCUUGCAGAGGUCGGUGGAAUUGCCGGUGUAGUGGUGAAAUGCGUAGAGAUCGGCAGGAACACCCAGGGGGGAACCAGCCGACUGGGCAAGUGCUGACGCUGAGGUGCGAGAGCGUGGGGAGCGAACCGG